CUUUCUUUGCUGGCGACCGGCGCACGGGUGGGUAACACGUAUCCAACCUGCCCUUUACUCGGGGAUAGCCUUUCGAAAGAAAGAUUAAUACCCGAUAGCAUAAUGAUUCCGCAUGGUUUCAUUAUUAAAGGAUUCCGGUAAAGGAUGGGGAUGCGUUCCAUUAGGUUGUUGGUGAGGUAACGGCUCACCAAGCCUUCGAUGGAUAGGGGUUCUGAGAGGAAGGUCCCCCACAUUGGAACUGAGACACGGUCCAA
Molecule: ribosomal RNA, 254 nt
Filed under: uncultured bacterium
Lineage: Bacteria
Description: partial 16S ribosomal RNA
Rfam family: Bacterial small subunit ribosomal RNA
Source: RNAcentral